RNAcentral lists this long non-coding RNA (394 nucleotides) under Fukomys damarensis (Damara mole-rat). Its description in RNAcentral is "lncRNA (ENSFDAG00000027576.1)". Lineage: Eukaryota; Metazoa; Chordata; Mammalia; Rodentia; Bathyergidae. The record is from RNAcentral.
CACGGACCCUUCUAUGUGGAAGACCUAUUGCGCUCUUCUCAGAGGGACAGUUUUCAAUGCUCAAACUAAAAACUUUGGGGAUUACAAAGAUCAGAAAUACUGAAACUGUUAUCAAAUAUUUUUAUCUAAAAAAAUUGUAUUAGUGUAUGCUUGUAGUACACAUUGAUCUUUUUCCUCAUGGUGAGUUACUGCAGGGUCCUGGGUUCCAUCCUUACCACCACCUGGACAGAAAGAUUACACAAGAUUUGACCGACUGGCCCCACGUGAAGGAAUAUAGCUCAAGGAAUUAAUUGAAUAAGUGUUUAUGGAAGCAAAGGAUGUGCGCCAUCAAGCUAUAGAAAAUUAAAAAUCAAAACAACUAAAAGAUAAGAACUGACCUACAUUGGCACCCACC